RNAcentral lists this long non-coding RNA (1047 nucleotides) under Gorilla gorilla gorilla (western lowland gorilla). RNAcentral's name for it is "lncRNA (ENSGGOG00000044452.1)". The record is from RNAcentral. Lineage: Eukaryota; Metazoa; Chordata; Mammalia; Primates; Hominidae.
GCCGCCUGAGCCAGCGGCUGCUGGGAGGCUGUGUCCGCAAGCCAGCGGGGCGAGGCGGCUGGGCCCUGCGCGUCAGGUCCCGGCCUGGGGCACCGGGGCUGGCAGCGUCGGAGGAGGCCUGAGACCUGGGAGGAAGCUGGAGAAAAGAUGCCCUCUGAAUCUUUGUUUGUCUGCCCAGGCUCGCCUCGACACCGAAUGGUUGAAAACAGAUAUACAGAUGAUAGUGUCGAACCAAGUGGAACAAAGAAAGAAGAUCUGAAUGACAAAGAGAAAAAAGAUGAAGACGAAACUCCUGCACCUGUAUAUAGGGCCAAGUCAAUUCUGGAGACCUGGGUGUGGGUCAGGCAACCAGGUAAUCUUCUGAGUUUUGGCACUUUGGAAAGCUUGAUCUGACGCUCCUUUUCUAAAUAACUUGGAUGGAUUAUUCGUAUUUUAUGGUAACAAUUUAAAAAAAUGUAAUUAAAAAAAUUUAAAUAUUGUAAAAUAUACAUACCGUAAAACUUGCCAUUUUAAUCAUCUUUAUGUGUACAGUUCAUUGGCAUUAAGUAUAUUCACAUUAUUGCCCAGCCAUCACCACCAUCCAUCUCUACAACUUUUGCCCUUUCUCCAACUGAAACUCCGUAUCCAUGAAACACUAACUCCUUCUGUCCCCAAGCAACCACCAUUCUACUUUUGUCUCAGAAUUUGACUACUCAAGGUGUCUCCUAUAAGGGGAAUCAUACAGUAUUUGUCCUUUUUUGACUGGUUUAUUGAACUUCUUAGGUGUUUGGGGUUCAUCCGCAUGUGUCAAAAUUUUCUUUUAAAGGCUCAAUGCUAUUCCAUUAUAUAUGUAAGCCACAUGUUAUCCCUUCAUCAGUGGGCAAUCAGGUUGCUUUCAUCUCUUGACUGUUGUGAGUAAUGCUGCUAUGAACAUUGGUUUACGAGUGUCUUGAGUGUCUGCUUUUAAUUCUUUGUGUCUAUACCUAGGAGUGGAAUUGGUCAAUAAUGUGGAAUGCUUACAUAUUUAUUUUUUUUGAGAUGGCAUCUCGCUCUGUCGCCCAGGCUGGA